Long non-coding RNA from Daphnia pulicaria, 308 nucleotides. RefSeq lists it as uncharacterized. The record is from RefSeq and is a predicted model, not a curated record. NCBI's taxonomy places the organism in Eukaryota, Metazoa, Arthropoda, Branchiopoda, Diplostraca, Daphniidae. The transcript is spliced from 3 exons.
CCAACUUUGACAGGUCGACUGGGCUCUGUUGGUGCUGGACUGGUGAAGAUAUUCGUUGCUACUGGUGUUUCGUUUGAUGCUGGAAAGAUUCUUCCCUCAAUCGAUUUACCCAUCGAGUAGUGGACCAAUAAUUUUCAAUAUCGACGUCAAUCUUCUUGAUAUCCGGCCUGAUUUGAAUACAUUCGCCUAAAAUUCACCAUAGAUAAACAGAAUCAGGCUGAAAGACAGACCCUCGGAACGGCCGUCAUUCAAUCCAAUGUUUUCCAUGACGAUGGAAACAUCUUCCAACUUUUGGUCGUCCACGUACC